GGGCUCGUAGCUCAGCUUGGCUGGAGCGUUCGACUGAUAAUCGAAAGGUCGUGUGUUCGAAUCACACCGGGCCCA
RNAcentral lists this transfer RNA (75 nucleotides) under Candidatus Nitrosopumilus sp. RNAcentral describes it as "Nitrosopumilus sp. tRNA-Ile". It matches the Rfam family "tRNA". From Rfam's summary of the family: Transfer RNA (tRNA) molecules are approximately 80 nucleotides in length. Their secondary structure includes four short double-helical elements and three loops (D, anti-codon, and T loops). Lineage: Archaea; Thermoproteati; Nitrososphaerota; Nitrososphaeria; Nitrosopumilales; Nitrosopumilaceae. The record is from RNAcentral. RNAcentral also lists the same sequence under 3 other names.